RNAcentral lists this ribosomal RNA (380 nucleotides) under Bothrioneurum vejdovskyanum. Its description in RNAcentral is "partial 12S ribosomal RNA". It matches the Rfam family "Bacterial small subunit ribosomal RNA", at positions 875 to 1415 of the family's 1533-position model. The record is from RNAcentral. Lineage: Eukaryota; Metazoa; Annelida; Clitellata; Tubificida; Naididae.
UCAUAGCAUAAAACUACGCCGACAAAUACGAACAACCGUUUAAACCUCAAAGACCUUGGCGGUGUCUUAUACAAUCAGGGGAACCUGUCCCUUAAUUCGAUAAUCCACGAAAAUCUUACCUUAACUCGAAUAGCAGCCCAUGUACUGCCGUUGUCAGCAUGCCUCUGAGAGCGCAUACCUAACAUAAUAUAUGUAUAUAACAUCAGGUCAAAGUAUAGCCAAUGUUAAGGGGGCGAUGGGUUACAACAUUAACAAAUCUACCAGAGGGCAAAUAAACUAUUUACCCAAAAGCUGAACUUGACAGUAAUAUCUUACAAUCAAUAGAUGUGAACAGGAAUCUAAGACAUGCACACAUCGCCCGUCACUCCACCCUAAAGGGG